This 924-nucleotide long non-coding RNA is filed under the name Gossypium barbadense (sea-island cotton). Its description in RNAcentral is "long non-coding RNA (GBAR_LNC023510)". The record is from RNAcentral. Lineage: Eukaryota; Viridiplantae; Streptophyta; Magnoliopsida; Malvales; Malvaceae.
UCCGAGCCCGGGCUUCAUAUUUCUCCACGGGUCAGGCCUGGGCAAAAUCUCAGGUCCAUAUUUCGGGCUGGGCCGGGCCUGGGCAUAGCAAUCGGGCUGAAAAUUUUUUUUUGGGCCCGGCAUGAGCACUUCUACGCCCAAGUCAACUAUGAACCUACUAUAAGGUCGAUAAGCAUCACUUAGACCUCUAAUUGUACGAACUGACUAUUUUAUUAUAUAUGUUGAGCAUGAUGAUAGUAUGCUUGUAUAUUGAACUGGUUAUAUGUACUGAUGUCCUGAGAUAGCAUAUCAUGACUUGUAUGUUACAAUUGCAUGGGUUGGGUUAAUUAUAUUUGGAGGAAGUGUACUGAGAGGCUCUUAAGCCUAACAUACUAGUAGCUCAGCUGUAAAUUACUGUUUUGUACCGCAUUCGGUACUACCUGAAGUGUAGGGAUGGGUGGGUUGAUUUGAUCCCCACAUGGAGUGUAGGGUUGGACGGAGAUGGUGUGUAGAGGCUGGUUGGGUAGGACUUUGUUACUGAAUACUGCAUGACUGCUACUAAUACUGUGAUGGGCUAAGGCCCUACUGCAUAUUUGAUACUGUACUGAGAUGGGCUAAAGCUCAAACUGUUACUGAUACUGAAAAAGGCUUAGGCCCAGGACUGCGUUAACUGUAUACUGUGAUAUGCUAUUGUUUGUUUUAUGUGGGAUUACACACUAAGUUUUCGUAAACUUACCCCUUUUAUUUAAAUGUGCACAUCUAAUCCCCAGAUCUAGACGGAUCGGUGCGGCGGAGGACUCGGCAGUGACCACGGUUUUUGACUUUCAUGGUUUUUAACCCAUAUUUACGAUAAUUGGUUUUAUUUCUAUUCUAUUUUUAUUGGCUAAGUUUUUGGGUUGUAAUUGGACUUUCGGACUUUGGUUUUGGGUUUUAAUUAUCUUUACC